UAUAUUCUGUUCGUUAAUUUCUAUAAAUGAUUAUACAAGUGUCCCCACUUGGAUAAUCAUUGUAUUUAAUCGCAUGUUGAUACACCUUUGGUAUACAUAUAUGUUGAAUUAUAUAAGACCUUUGUUAUGAAAACCCGACAGAUAUAAACAUCCCGAUAAUGGGAAAAUUUUAUGCGCCCAAGGCGGACAGAGCGAACGAUAACAUCGUUCAUGUUCAUGUAGUAUUGAUCAAUACAGGGUACAACAGGACUGAUCACCCUCCGUACCCGUAAGUCAUGACGGUUUACAGAUGAAUUUCUGUUUAUACCUUUUCGAAAAUGAAAAACAAUGUUCAUGGUAUGUCACAGAAACCCCAUAUACAGUCAAUACGUA
RNAcentral lists this long non-coding RNA (372 nucleotides) under Panax ginseng (ginseng). Its description in RNAcentral is "long non-coding RNA (PGIN_LNC007197)". Lineage: Eukaryota; Viridiplantae; Streptophyta; Magnoliopsida; Apiales; Araliaceae. The record is from RNAcentral.